GAUGAACGCUGGCGGCGUGCCUAAUACAUGCAAGUCGAGCGAAUGGAUUAAGAGCUUGCUCUUAUGAAGUUAGCGGCGGACGGGUGAGUAACACGUGGGUAACCUGCCCAUAAGACUGGGAUAACUCCGGGAAACCGGGGCUAAUACCGGAUAAUAUUUUAAACUGCAUGGUUCAAAAUUGAAAGGCGGCUUCGGCUGUCAUUUAUGGAUGGACCCGCGUCGCAUUAGCUAGUUGGUGAGGUAACGGCUCACCAAGGCAACGAUGCGUAGCUGACCUGAGAGGGUGAUCGGCCAAACUGGGACUGAGACACGGCCCAGACUCCUACGGGAGGCAGCAGUAGGGAAUCUUCCGCAAUGGACGAAAGUCUGACGGAGCAACGCCGCGUGAGUGAUGAAGGCUUUCGGGUCGUAAAACUCUGUUGUUAGGGAAGAACAAGUGCUAGUUGAAUAAGCUGGCACCUUGACGGUACCUAACCAGAAAGCCACGGCUAACUACGUGCCAGCAGCCGCCGUAA
This 515-nucleotide ribosomal RNA is filed under the name uncultured bacterium. RNAcentral describes it as "partial 16S ribosomal RNA". It matches the Rfam family "Bacterial small subunit ribosomal RNA", at positions 28 to 523 of the family's 1533-position model. The record is from RNAcentral.